Molecule: ribosomal RNA, 1820 nt
Filed under: soil metagenome
Description: bacterial LSU rRNA
Rfam family: Bacterial large subunit ribosomal RNA
Source: RNAcentral
GGUAAGGCUAAAUACUUCUGAGAGACCGAUAGUGAACUAGUACUGUGAAGGAAAGGUGAAAAGAACCGCGAAUAGCGGAGUGAAAUAGAUCCUGAAACCAUACGCUUACAAGCGGUAGGAGCGGCUUCGUGCCGUGACUGCGUGCCUUUUGCAUAAUGAGCCUACGAGUUACUCCUCUCUAGCAAGGUUAAAGAUUUAAGAUCUGCAGCCGAAGCGAAAGCAAGUCUGAAUAGGGCGUAUAGUUAGAGGGGGUAGACGCGAAACCUUGUGAUCUACCCAUGACCAGGUUGAAGUUCCGGUAACACGGAAUGGAGGACCGAACUGAUAAGCGUUGAAAAGCUUCCGGAUGAGUUGUGGGUAGGGGUGAAAGGCUAAUCAAACUGGGAAAUAGCUCGUACUCCCCGAAAUGUUUUUAGGAACAGCCUCGAGGUUGAGUGUUAUAGAGGUAGAGCUACUGAUUGGACUAGGGGGCUUCACCGCCUGCCAAAUCCUGACAAACUCCGAAUACUAUAACAUAUACUCGGGAGUGAGCCCAUGGGUGCUAAGGUCCGUGGGCGAGAGGGAAAGAACCCAGACCAACAGCUAAGGUCCCCAAAUCUAUGUUAAGUUGAACUAAUAUGGUCCGAUUGCUUUGACAGCUAGGAUGUUUGCUUGGAAGCAGCAAUUCAUUUAAAGAGUGCGUAACAGCUCACUAGUCGAGCGAUUGGGCGUAGAUAAUAAUCGGGCAUUAAACAUAGUACCGAAGCUUUGGAUUACAUAGCAAUAUGUACUGGUAGGGGAGCAUUCUAAUUGCACUGAAGGUGUGGCGUCAGCCAUGCUGGAGCGAUUAGAAAAGCAAAUGUAGGCAUAAGUAACGAUAAGGCGGGCGAGAAACCCGCCCACCGAUAGACUAAGGUUUCCUGAACAACGUUAAUCGAUUCAGGGUUAGUCGGGACCUAAGGCGAAGCCGAACGGCGUAGUCGAUGGACAACUGGUUAAUAUUCCAGUACUUGCUUUACUGCGAUGUGGUGACGAAGUAGUGAAAGUUCUGCGGGGCAACGAAAGUUCCCGUUAAAAGAUGUAGAUAUAGGUUGUGUAGGUAAAUCCGCACGACUUGUCGAAUCCGAUAGUAUCAGGAGUCUUCGGACAAAUGAAUAUGAACCUAAUCAAACUUCCAAGAAAAACCACUAAGCUUCAGGUAACAGCAACCCGUACCGCAAACCGACACAGGUAGUCAAGGAGAGAAUCCUGAGGUGCUCGAGUGAUCCGUGGCUAAGGAACUAGGCAAAUUAACCCUGUAACUUCGGGAUAAAGGGUACCCUCUUCGGAGGGUUUCAAUAAAAUGGCUCUGGCGACUGUUUAUCAAAAACACAUGGCUUUGCUAAAUCGAAAGAUGAUGUAUAAGGCCUGACACCUGCCCGGUGCUGGAAGGUUAAAAGGAGAGGUUAGUAGUAAUACGAAGCUUUGAAUUGAAGCCCCAGUAAACGGCGGCCGUAACUAUAACGGUCCUAAGGUAGCGAAAUUCCUUGUCGGGUAAGUUCCGACCUGCACGAAUGGUGUAACGAUCUCCGCUCUGUCUCAACCGCGAGCUCGGUGAAAUUGUGGUAUCAGUGAAGACGCUGAUUACCCGCAACGGGACGGAAAGACCCCAUGCACCUUUACUAUAGCUUAACAUUGACUUUGGGUAAAUCAUGUGUAGAAUAGGUGGGAGACUUUGAAGUAGGGGCGCUAGCUCUUAUGGAGUCAACAAGUGAAAUACCACCCUUGAUUUAUUCGGCGUCUAACUCCUAACGGAGGACAUUGUUUGGUGGGUAGUUUGACUGGGGUGGUCGCCUCCAAAA